GACGAACGCUGGCGGCGUGCUUAACACAUGCAAGUCGAACGGAAAGGCCCUGCUUUUGUGGGGUUCUCGAGUGGCGCACGGGUGAGUAACACGUGAGUAACCUGCCCUUGUCUUUCUGAUAACUUCAGGAAACUGGGGCUAAUACCGGAUAGGAGCUCCUGCUGCAUGGUGGGGUUUGGAAAGUUUCGGCGGGAGGGGAUGGGCUCGCGGCUUAUCAGCUUGUUGGUGGGGUAGUGGCAUACUAAGGUUUUGACGGGUAGCCGGCUUGUGAGGGUGACCGGCGUCAUUGGGACUGAGGUAAGGCGCAGACUCCUACGGGAGGCAGUAGUGGGGAAUAUUGUGUAGUGGGCGGAAGUGUGAUGCAGCAAGGCCCCGAGCGGGAUGACGGUUUUGUGGUUGUAAACCGCUUUCGGGUGUGACGUAGCGUGAGUGACGGUAAUGGGUAAAAAAGCACCGGCUAACUACGUG
Molecule: ribosomal RNA, 468 nt
Filed under: uncultured bacterium
Lineage: Bacteria
Description: partial 16S ribosomal RNA
Rfam family: Bacterial small subunit ribosomal RNA
Source: RNAcentral